RNAcentral lists this ribosomal RNA (866 nucleotides) under uncultured Megasphaera sp. RNAcentral's name for it is "bacterial SSU rRNA". It matches the Rfam family "Bacterial small subunit ribosomal RNA", at positions 31 to 863 of the family's 1533-position model. The record is from RNAcentral. Lineage: Bacteria; Bacillati; Bacillota; Negativicutes; Veillonellales; Veillonellaceae.
GAACGCUGGCGGCUGCUUAACACAUGCAAGUCGAACGAGAGCGUAGAGAAAGCUUGCUUUUUCUACAAUCUAGUGGCAAACGGGUGAGUAACGCGUAAACAACCUGCCCUACGGAUGGGGACAACAGCUGGAAACGGCUGCUAAUACCGAAUACGUUCCGAAAGUCGCAUGACUAUCGGAAGAAAGGAUGGCCUCUAUUUAUAAGCUAUCGCCGGAGGAGGGGUUUGCGUCUGAUUAGCUAGUUGGAGGGGUAACGGCCCACCAAGGCGACGAUCAGUAGCCGGUCUGAGAGGAUGAACGGCCACAUUGGAACUGAGACACGGUCCAGACUCCUACGGGAGGCAGCAGUGGGGAAUCUUCCGCAAUGGGCGAAAGCCUGACGGAGCAACGCCGCGUGAGUGAAGACGGCCUUCGGGUUGUAAAGCUCUGUUAUACGGGACGAAUAGUCUUGUGGUUAAUACCCAUAAGAAGUGACGGUACCGUAAGAGAAAGCCACGGCUAACUACGUGCCAGCAGCCGCGGUAAUACGUAGGUGGCAAGCGUUGUCCGGAAUUAUUGGGCGUAAAGGGCGCGCAGGCGGCUUCUUAAGUCUGUCUUAAAAGUGCGGGGCUUAACCCCGUGAUGGGAUGGAAACUGGGAAGCUCAGAGUAUCGGAGAGGAAAGCGGAAUUCCUAGUGUAGCGGUGAAAUGCGUAGAUAUUAGGAGGAACACCAGUGGCGAAAGCGGCUUUCUGGACGAAAACUGACGCUGAGGCGCGAAAGCCAGGGGAGCGAACGGGAUUAGAUACCCCGGUAGUCCUGGCCGUAAACGAUGGGUACUAGGUGUAGGAGGUAUCGACCCCUUCUGUGCCGGAGUUAACGCAAUAA